AAUGGAGCAAUCCUAGUAGAGCGGCGCACGGGUGCGUAACACGUGGGUAAUCUGCCUAGAAGACUGGAAUAACCUGCCGAAAGGCUGGCUAAUACCAGAUAAGCCUACGAAGACUUCGGUCUUUGAAGGAAAAGGUGGCCUCUGUACAUCAAGCUAUCACUUCUAGAUGAGCCCGCGGCCCAUCAGCUAGUUGGCGGGGUAAUGGCCCACCAAGGCAACGACGGGUAGCUGGUCUGAGAGGACGAUCAGCCACACUGGAACUGAGACACGGUCCAGACUCCUACGGGAGGCAGCAGUGGGGAAUUUUGCACAAUGGGCGAAAGCCUGAUGCAGCAACGCCGCGUGUGUGAUGAAGGUCUUCGGAUCGUAAAGCACUUUCGACCGGGACGAACACCCCUUGGCUAACAUCCAAGGGCCUGACGGUACCGGGAGAAGAAGCACCGGCUAACUCUGUGCCAGCAGCCGCGGUAAUACAGAGGGUGCAAGCGUUGUUCGGAAUUAUUGGGCGUAAAGCGCGUGUAGGCGGCUUUGCAAGUCGGGUGUGAAAGCCCUCAGCUCAACUGAGGAAGUGCGCCCGAAACUGCAUGGCUUGAGUACCGGAGAGGAUGGUGGAAUUCCCCAAGUAGAGGUGAAAUUCGUAGAUAUGGGGAGGAACACCGGUGGCGAAGGCGACCAUCUGGACGGAUACUGACGCUGAGACGCGAAAGCGUGGGUAGCAAACAGGAUUAGAUACCCUGGUAGUCCACGCCGUAAACGAUGAGAACUAGGUGUUGUGGGUGUUGACCCCCGCGGUGCCGUAGCUAACGCAUUAAGUUCUCCGCCUGGGAAGUACGGCCGCAAGGCUAAAACUCAAAGGAAUUGACGGGGGCCCGCACAAGCGGUGGAGCAUGUGGUUUUAU
Molecule: ribosomal RNA, 899 nt
Filed under: uncultured Archangiaceae bacterium
Lineage: Bacteria; Pseudomonadati; Myxococcota; Myxococcia; Myxococcales; Archangiaceae
Description: bacterial SSU rRNA
Rfam family: Bacterial small subunit ribosomal RNA
Source: RNAcentral